ACCUUCGUGGUGUAGUGGUCAGCACGCUCGACGCGUAACCAAGAGGUCCGUGGUUCUAAUCCCAGCGAGGGCA
This 73-nucleotide transfer RNA is filed under the name Stegodyphus mimosarum. It matches the Rfam family "tRNA". From Rfam's summary of the family: Transfer RNA (tRNA) molecules are approximately 80 nucleotides in length. Their secondary structure includes four short double-helical elements and three loops (D, anti-codon, and T loops). Lineage: Eukaryota; Metazoa; Arthropoda; Arachnida; Araneae; Eresidae. The record is from Rfam by way of RNAcentral.